RNAcentral lists this ribosomal RNA (471 nucleotides) under Triticum aestivum (bread wheat). Its description in RNAcentral is "partial small subunit ribosomal RNA". The record is from RNAcentral. Lineage: Eukaryota; Viridiplantae; Streptophyta; Magnoliopsida; Poales; Poaceae.
AUGGCGAGGAGGCAAACGGCGGCGACUCUUGGACUUGGGCGAGGCUUCGGCUUGGCGGCACAGGAACGGCGAGGAGGGACUUGGCAUCGGGGCGGCACGUUGCAAGGUCGGGGACGCGAGCGUCCAUGGCGGCAGAGUGCACUGUUUGAGACAAAGAGAGAAAUUGAGAUGUGUGAGAGAGAAAAAGGAGGAAGAAGGAUAGCACCGGAAGAAGGGUGGCACUCAUCUGCGGGCCCCGGCAAGUUGUGGCUGGUGGUCGCCGGCGGCGGCGUGCAAAACCACAGGAGGAGCUCCUCUCGUGGGGCUCGGGUGCGGGGAAUCGUGGGAGGAGGCUGCAAGGACAGCGAGGUCGCUCGCUCGGUCGGGGGUGGGAGGGAGAGGACUGGAUCGGGAGGGGGCGGGUACGGGAGGAGGUGGCGGCGGCGGCGGGGAGAUUGGGAGCAGGGAGAUAGAUGGAUGGAUCUGAUCUAG